GUGUUGUGUUGUAAGGGCGCAUGGUGGAUGCCUUGGCAUAGUAGGCCGAUGAAGGACGUGAGAGGCUGCGAUAGGCCUCGGGGAGCUGCCAACUGAGCGUUGAUCCGAGGGUGUCCGAAUGGGGAAACCUGGCCGUCGUUGUGGGCGGUCGCCGUUAGAUGAAUUCAUAGUCUAAUUGGUGGUUACGCGGGGAAGUGAAACAUCUCAGUACCCGUAGGAGUAGAAAACAAUUGUGAUUCCGUUAGUAGUGGCGAACGAACGUGGAUGAGGCUAAACCGCGUGCGUGUGAUACCUGGCAGGGUUUGCGUGCGUGGGGUUGUGGGGAUGCA
RNAcentral lists this ribosomal RNA (329 nucleotides) under Corynebacterium amycolatum. RNAcentral's name for it is "partial 23S ribosomal RNA". It matches the Rfam family "Bacterial large subunit ribosomal RNA", at positions 1 to 310 of the family's 2925-position model. RNAcentral also lists the same sequence under 5 other names. Lineage: Bacteria; Bacillati; Actinomycetota; Actinomycetes; Mycobacteriales; Corynebacteriaceae. The record is from RNAcentral.